GUGCUGGGGGCUGCGGGGGGGACUGGCGCCCAUCCCCCCUGGGCUGCACUGCUGCCUUGAGCACCGUGGGCGGCUGCGCGAUGCCGCUCACCGCCUCCACGCGCUGGCCUGGGGGAGGCGCUGAGCCCCUCCUGUGUCCCCAGUGUCACCUGCUGUCCCCCUCCCGGGAAAGACCCUGUGGGUCCCCAGGGUGCAGCAGAGACCCUCAUGGGGUCCUGGAGGGGCUUGGGAGGGAGGGUCCCUGGGGGUCAGCUGGGACCUUCACGGGGUCCUGGGGGUGGCUUGGGAGAGUUCCUGGGGGGGCUGCAAGGAACUUCACAGCAUCCUGGGUUGCUCGGGAGGGCCCCUGGAAGACCCUGGGGGGAAGCAGGGCCCUUCAAGGGGUGCUGGGGGGCUCAGGCAAGCCCCAGGGAGCCCACUGUAGCCACAUCCAGGUGGCCUUUUAUCGCUCCACGGUUAGAGACCCCAGAACCUCCCCGAGGAGCCUCAGUCACCCCCACAGUAAAGAAGUGUCCUCCCAA
Molecule: long non-coding RNA, 521 nt
Organism: Aptenodytes forsteri (emperor penguin)
Lineage: Eukaryota; Metazoa; Chordata; Aves; Sphenisciformes; Spheniscidae
Exons: 2
Source: RefSeq, a predicted model, not a curated record